CCUACGGGAGGCAGCAGUGGGGAAUAUUGCACAAUGGGGGAAACCCUGCUGCAGCAACGCCGCGUGAGUGAAGAAGUAUUUCGGUAUGUACAGCUCUAUCAGCAGGGAAGAAGAAAGACGGUACCUGACUAAGAAGCCCCGGCUAACUACGUGCCAGCAGCCGCGGUAAUACGUAGGGGGCAAGCGUUAUCCGGAUUUACUGGGUGUAAAGGGAGCGUAGACGGCUGUGAAAGUCUGAAGUGAAAGCCCGUGGCUCAACCGCGGAACUGCUUUUGUAACUGUGAAACUAGAGUACGGGAGAGGUAAGAGGAAUUCCUAGUGUAGCGGUGAAAUGCGUAGAUAUUAGGAGGAACACCAGUGGCGAAGGCGUCUUACUGGACCGAAACUGACGUUGAGGCUCGAAAGCGUGGGGAGCAAACAGGAUUAGAUACCCCUGUAGU
This 440-nucleotide ribosomal RNA is filed under the name uncultured bacterium. Its description in RNAcentral is "partial 16S ribosomal RNA". It matches the Rfam family "Bacterial small subunit ribosomal RNA", at positions 338 to 794 of the family's 1533-position model. The record is from RNAcentral.